ACGAACGCUGGCGGCGUGCUUAACACAUGCAAGUCGAACGGAAAGGCCCUGCUUUUGUGGGGUGCUCGAGUGGCGAACGGGGGAGUAACACGUGAGUAACCUGCCCUUGACUUUGGGAUAACUUCAGGAAACUGGGGCUAAUACCGGAUAGGAGCUCCUGCUGCAUGGUGGGGGUUGGAAAGUUUCGGCGGUUGGGGAUGGACUCGCGGCUUAUCGGCUUGUUGGUGGGGUAGUGGCUUACCAAGGCUUUGACGGGUAGCCGGCCUGAGAGGGUGACCGGCCACAUUGGGACUGAGAUACGGCCCAGACUCCUACGGGAGGCAGCAGUGGGGAAUAUUGCACAAUGGGCGGAAGCCUGAUGCAGCAACGCCGCGUGCGGGAUGACGGCCUUCGGGUUGUAAACCGCUUUCGCCUGUGACGAAGCGUGAGUGACGGUAAUGGGUAAAGAAGCACCGGCUAACUACGUG
Molecule: ribosomal RNA, 467 nt
Filed under: uncultured bacterium
Lineage: Bacteria
Description: partial 16S ribosomal RNA
Rfam family: Bacterial small subunit ribosomal RNA
Source: RNAcentral